Molecule: ribosomal RNA, 1266 nt
Filed under: uncultured bacterium
Lineage: Bacteria
Description: bacterial SSU rRNA
Rfam family: Bacterial small subunit ribosomal RNA
Source: RNAcentral
GACGGGUGAGUAACGCGUGGGUGACCUGCCCCAUACCGGGGGAUAACAGCUGGAAACGGCUGCUAAUACCGCAUAAGCGCACAGAGCUGCAUGGCUCGGUGUGAAAAACUCCGGUGGUAUGGGAUGGGCCCGCGUCUGAUUGGCAGUUGGCGGGGUAACGGCCCACCAAACCGACGAUCAGUAGCCGGCCUGAGAGGGCGACCGGCCACAUUGGGACUGAGACACGGCCCAAACUCCUACGGGAGGCAGCAGUGGGGAAUAUUGCACAAUGGGGGAAACCCUGAUGCAGCGACGCCGCGUGAGCGAAGAAGUAUUUCGGUAUGUAAAGCUCUAUCAGCAGGGAAGAUAAUGACGGUACCUGACUAAGAAGCCCCGGCUAACUACGUGCCAGCAGCCGCGGUAAUACGUAGGGGGCAAGCGUUAUCCGGAUUUACUGGGUGUAAAGGGAGCGUAGACGGCAAGGCAAGUCUGAUGUGAAAACCCAGGGCUUAACCCUGGGACUGCAUUGGAAACUGUCUGGCUCGAGUGCCGGAGAGGUAAGCGGAAUUCCUAGUGUAGCGGUGAAAUGCGUAGAUAUUAGGAAGAACACCAGUGGCGAAGGCGGCUUACUGGACGGUAACUGACGUUGAGGCUCGAAAGCGUGGGGAGCAAACAGGAUUAGAUACCCUGGUAGUCCACGCCGUAAACGACCAAUAAUGGGUGUUGGGGAGCAAAGCUCUUCGGUGCCGCCGCAAACGCAUAAGCAUUCCACCUGGGGAGUACGUUCGCAAGAAUGAAACUCAAAGGAAUUGACGGGGACCCGCACAACCGGCGGAGCAUGUGGUUUAAUUCGAAGCAACGCGAAGAACCUUACCAGGUCUUGACAUCCCGAUGACCGGCCCGUAACGGGGCCUUCUCUUCGGAGCAUUGGAGACAGGUGGUGCAUGGUUGUCGUCAGCUCGUGUCGUGAGAUGUUGGGUUAAGUCCCGCAACGAGCGCAACCCUUAUCCUCAGUAGCCAGCAGGUCAAGCUGGGCACUCUGUGGAGACUGCCAGGGAUAACCUGGAGGAAGGUGGGGAUGACGUCAAAUCAUCAUGCCCCUUAUGAUCUGGGCUACACACGUGCUACAAUGGCGUAAACAAAGGGAGGCAAAGCCGCGAGGUGGAGCAAAUCCCAAAAAUAACGUCUCAGUUCGGACUGCAGUCUGCAACUCGACUGCACGAAGCUGGAAUCGCUAGUAAUCGCGAAUCAGAAUGUCGCGGUGAAUAAAAUCCCGGGUCUUGCACA